Molecule: small RNA, 642 nt
Filed under: Pan troglodytes (chimpanzee)
Lineage: Eukaryota; Metazoa; Chordata; Mammalia; Primates; Hominidae
Description: processed transcript
Source: RNAcentral
UAUGGCUUUCACUUAAAUGCGAUUCGGGGUCUGCCAGGCUCAUUCAUCAAAGAGGUACAGAAGGGCGGUCCUGCUGACUUGGCUGGGCUAGAGGAUGAGGAUGUCAUCAUUGAAGUGAAUGGGGUGAAUGUGCUAGAUGAACCCUAUGAGAAGGUGGUGGAUAGAAUCCAGAGCAGUGGGAAGAAUGUCACAUUUCUAGUCUGUGGAAAGAAGGCCUAUGAUUAUUUCCAAGCUAAGAAAAUCCCUAUUGUUUCCUCCCUGGCUGAUCCACUUGACACCCCUCCAGAUUCUAAAGAAGGAAUAGUGGUGGAGUCAAAGCAUGAUUCGCACAUGGCAAAAGAACGGCUCUACACAAUUGCUGUCAACUGCAUGCUGUGAAAGAAAGAAAUUCUAGCCCACAGUACAGCCUCACAUUCUUCUUCCAAUUCUGAAGAUACAGAGAUGUGAUGAAAACAAGCGGCUAUUGCAGACGGCUAAUUUAUGCUUAACUUAGGAAGAGAUAAGGUUCCUUGAGCACCAAAGAUGAUUCAUAACUCUGUAUAGGUGACAGCUGCUUAUAAAAGCAUCUUAGCAGAUAAGCCUAUUAAAAUUGUGCUUUUGUAACAAUGUUGUGGUUGCUAGAAUAAAUACCAUUAACAAAUG